UGAGGAAUAUUGGGCAAUGCCCGCAAGGGUGACCCAGCAACGCCGCGUGGAGGAUGAAUGUCGUAAGAUUGUAAACUCCUGUUAGAGGGGAAGAAUAGUACCGGUUGGACCGGUAUAUGACUGUACCCUCAGAGAAAGCCCCGGCUAACUACGUGCCAGCAGCCGCGGCAAUACGAAGGGGGCAAGCGAUGCCUGGAUUUACGGGGUGUAAAGGGAGCGCAGGCGGGAUAAAAAGUCAGUGGUGAAAUCCUACAGCUUAACUGUAGAACUGCCUUUGAUACUGUUAUUCUUGAGUUCGGGAGAGAGGGACGGAAGUCCAGGUGUAGGGGUGAAAUACGUAGAUAUCUGGAAGAACACCAGUGGCGAAGGCGGUCUCUUGGUCCGACACUGACGCUGAGGCGCGAAAGCGUGGGGAGCAAACA
RNAcentral lists this ribosomal RNA (422 nucleotides) under uncultured bacterium. RNAcentral describes it as "bacterial SSU rRNA". It matches the Rfam family "Bacterial small subunit ribosomal RNA", at positions 355 to 774 of the family's 1533-position model. The record is from RNAcentral.